CAAGCGGUGGAGCAUGUGGUUUAAUUUCGACGCAACGCGAAGAACCUUACCAGGGCUUGACAUCCCCUGACCGCGUAUGAAAGUACGUUUUCACCUCGGGUGACAGGGAGACAGGUGGUGCAUGGUUGUCGUCAGCUCGUGUCGUGAGAUGUUGGGUUAAGUCCCGCAACGAGCGCAACCCCUAUCUCUAGUUGCCAGCGAUUCGGUCGGGGACUCUAGAGAUACUGCCCCGGUUAACGGGGAGGAAGGUGGGGAUGACGUCAAGUCCUCAUGGCCCUUAUGCCCAGGGCUACACACGUGCUACAAUGGGCGGUACAAAGGGUAGCGAUGCCGCGAGGCGAAGCCAAUCCCAAAAAGCCGUCCACAGUUCGGAUUGGAGUCUGCAACUCGACUCCAUGAAGCCGGAAUCGCUAGUAAUCGUGGAUCAGCAUGCCACGGUGAAUACGUUCCCGGGCCUU
Molecule: ribosomal RNA, 458 nt
Filed under: uncultured Desulfobacterium sp.
Lineage: Bacteria; Pseudomonadati; Thermodesulfobacteriota; Desulfobacteria; Desulfobacterales; Desulfobacteriaceae
Description: bacterial SSU rRNA
Rfam family: Bacterial small subunit ribosomal RNA
Source: RNAcentral